Molecule: ribosomal RNA, 360 nt
Filed under: Ceutorhynchoides styracis
Lineage: Eukaryota; Metazoa; Arthropoda; Insecta; Coleoptera; Curculionidae
Description: partial 12S ribosomal RNA
Source: RNAcentral
AGUCUAUUCAGAGGAACCUGUCCUAUAAUCGAUAAUCCACGAUUUUAUUUACUUAUUUUUUUAAUUUACAUAUCGCCGUAGAUUGAAUAUUUUCAUAGAAUUUAGUAAUAUUCAAGAUUUUAGUAAAAAAAGAAUUCAGGUCAAGGUGUAGUUUAUAGAUAAGAAGAGAUGGGUUACAAUAAAUUUAUUUAUACAGUUAGAUUUUUUUAAAAUUUUUAUAAGGCGGAUUUGAAGGUAAUUUUAAAUAUAUAUUUAAAAUGAUUUUAGCUCUAAAAUAUGUACAUAUCGCCCGUCGCUUUCACUCCAAGGUGAAAUAAGUCGUAACAAAGUAGGUGUACCGGAAGGUGCCCCUAGAGAAGU